Molecule: ribosomal RNA, 494 nt
Filed under: uncultured bacterium
Lineage: Bacteria
Description: partial 16S ribosomal RNA
Rfam family: Bacterial small subunit ribosomal RNA
Source: RNAcentral
GACGAACGCUGGCGGCGUGCUUAACACAUGCAAGUCGAACGGAAAGGCCUGCUUUCCCUUGUGGAUUGCGGGUACUCGAGUGGCGAACGGGUGAGUAACACGUGAGUGAUCUGCCCCCAACUUGGGUAUAAGCCUGGGAAACUGGGUCUAAUUCCCGAUAGGACUGCAGGGUGGUGCCUGUGGUGGAAAACGAUUUUCUAGUGGUUGGGGAUGAGCUCGCGGCCUAUCAGCUUGUUGGUGGGGUAAUGGCCUACCAAGGCGGCGACGGGUAGCCGGCCUGAGAGGGUGGACGGCCACAUUGGGACUGAGAUACGGCCCAGACUCCUACGCGAGGCAGCAGUGGGGAAUAUUGCACAAUGGGCGGAAGCCUGAUGCAGCGACGCCGCGUGGGGGAUGACGGCCUUCGGGUUGUAAACUCCUUUCGACCGCGAGGAAGCCACCUGGUUGGAAGGGUGGUGACGGUAGUGGUAGAAGAAGCACCGGCUAACUACGUG